AGGGUUCGAUCAUGGCUCAGAACGUACGCUGGCGGCACGCCUAACACAUGCAAGUCGAACGAAGUAGCAAUACUUAGUGGCAGACGGGUGAGUAACAUGUAGGUAUCUACCCUUUGGCCUGGAAUAACACGAGGAAACUUGUGCUAAUACCGGAUAAGUCUUUACGGAGAAAGCUUUAUGCACCAUUGGAUGAGCCUGCACUUGAUUAGUUUGUUGGUGGGGUAAUGGCCUACCAAGACUGUGAUCAAUAGCUGAUUUGAGAGGAUGAUCAGCCACAUUGGGACCGAGACACGGCCCAAACUCCUACGGGAGGCAGCAGUGGGGAAUCUUGCACAAUGGAGGAAACUCUGAUGCAGCGAUGCCGCGUGAGUGAAGAAGGCCUUUGGGUUGUAAAGCUCUUUCGUCGGGGAAGAAAAUGACUGUACCCGAAUAAGAAGGUCCGGCUAACUUCGUGCCAGCAGCCGCGGUAAUA
Molecule: ribosomal RNA, 472 nt
Filed under: uncultured bacterium
Lineage: Bacteria
Description: bacterial SSU rRNA
Rfam family: Bacterial small subunit ribosomal RNA
Source: RNAcentral